GCACAAGCGGUGGAUGAUGUGGUUAAUUCGAUGCAACGCGAAAACCUUACCCACCUUUGACAUGUACGGAAUCCUUUAGAGAUAGAGGAGUGCUCGAAAGAGAGCCGUAACACAGGUGCUGCAUGGCUGUCGUCAGCUCGUGUCGUGAGAUGUUGGGUUAAGUCCCGCAACGAGCGCAACCCUUGUCAUUAGUUGCUACAUUCAGUUGGGCACUCUAAUGAGACUGCCGGUGACAAACCGGAGGAAGGUGGGGAUGACGUCAAGUCCUCAUGGCCCUUAUAGGUGGGGCUACACACGUCAUACAAUGGAUGGUACAAAGGGUCGCCAACCCGCGAGGGGGAGCCAAUCCCAUAAAGCCAUUCGUAGUCCGGAUCGCAGUCUGCAACUCGACUGCGUGAAGUCGGAAUCGCUAGUAAUCGUGGAUCAGAAUGUCACGGUGAAUACGUUCCCGGGUCUU
This 457-nucleotide ribosomal RNA is filed under the name uncultured Acidovorax sp. RNAcentral describes it as "bacterial SSU rRNA". It matches the Rfam family "Bacterial small subunit ribosomal RNA", at positions 923 to 1382 of the family's 1533-position model. The record is from RNAcentral. Lineage: Bacteria; Pseudomonadati; Pseudomonadota; Betaproteobacteria; Burkholderiales; Comamonadaceae.